GGGAGGCCUGGUGUCCCCACGUGGACCGGUUCCGGCUCUCUGAGACAGAAACAUCCAACAGCAUCUGCUGGUCCUUGUCCUUCACAGCCGCUCUGGGAAGGCUCCAAAGUCUGCCAUUUCAUACCAGCUAACUGGGCAUGAACCUGCCUGCUGGUGUGUCCGGGAAAGGAGAGGGAGACGGAGAAAGAGAGCGAGAGACGGGCACCCCAGCAGGUCUCCUCUUGCUGCGAUCCAUUUCCCGGCCCUCCAGCUCGUCAAGGCCUCGGGCUGGCGUGUUCCAGGUUGACUCCGCUCCACACCGGCGCUGGCUGCCCGCUUCCAGCAC
Tupaia belangeri chinensis (Chinese tree shrew) is the source of this 325-nucleotide long non-coding RNA. RefSeq lists it as uncharacterized. The record is from RefSeq and is a predicted model, not a curated record. The transcript is spliced from 2 exons. Lineage: Eukaryota; Metazoa; Chordata; Mammalia; Scandentia; Tupaiidae.